This is a transfer RNA of Mastigocoleus testarum BC008, 72 nucleotides long. It matches the Rfam family "tRNA". From Rfam's summary of the family: Transfer RNA (tRNA) molecules are approximately 80 nucleotides in length. Their secondary structure includes four short double-helical elements and three loops (D, anti-codon, and T loops). Further hydrogen bonds mediate the characteristic L-shaped molecular structure. tRNAs have two regions of fundamental functional importance: the anti-codon, which is responsible for specific mRNA codon recognition, and the 3' end, to which the tRNAs corresponding amino acid is attached (by aminoacyl-tRNA synthetases). tRNAs cope with the degeneracy of the genetic code in two manners: having more than one tRNA (with a specific anti-codon) for a particular amino acid; and 'wobble' base-pairing, i.e. permitting non-standard base-pairing at the 3rd anti-codon position. NCBI's taxonomy places the organism in Bacteria, Bacillati, Cyanobacteriota, Cyanophyceae, Nostocales, Hapalosiphonaceae. The record is from Rfam.
GCCGAUGUAGCUCAGUGGUAGAGCACACCCUUGGUAAGGGUGAGGUCACGAGUUCAAAUCUCGUCAUCGGCU